This 292-nucleotide ribosomal RNA is filed under the name uncultured bacterium. RNAcentral describes it as "partial 16S ribosomal RNA". It matches the Rfam family "Bacterial small subunit ribosomal RNA", at positions 505 to 796 of the family's 1533-position model. The record is from RNAcentral.
GUGCCAGCCGCCGCGGUAAUACAGAGGGUGCAAGCGUUAAUCGGAAUUACUGGGCGUAAAGCGCGCGUAGGCCGUCGAGUAAGUCGGAUGUGAAAUCCCCGGGCUUAACCUGGGAAUUGCAUUCGAUACUGCUUGGCUAGAGUGUGGAAGAGGGAAGCGGAAUUUCCGGUGUAGCGGUGAAAUGCGUAGAUAUCGGAAGGAACACCAGUGGCGAAGGCGGCUUCCUGGUCCAACACUGACGCUGAGGCGCGAAAGCGUGGGGAGCGAACAGGAUUAGAAACCCCCGUAGUCC